GAGGGUAUAGCUCAGUGGUAGAGUCCAUGCUUAGCAUGCACGAGGUCCUGGGUUCAGUGCCCAGCACCCCCA
RNAcentral lists this transfer RNA (72 nucleotides) under Camelus ferus (Wild Bactrian camel). It matches the Rfam family "tRNA". Rfam says of the family: Transfer RNA (tRNA) molecules are approximately 80 nucleotides in length. Their secondary structure includes four short double-helical elements and three loops (D, anti-codon, and T loops). Lineage: Eukaryota; Metazoa; Chordata; Mammalia; Artiodactyla; Camelidae. The record is from Rfam by way of RNAcentral.